This 264-nucleotide ribosomal RNA is filed under the name uncultured bacterium. Its description in RNAcentral is "partial 16S ribosomal RNA". It matches the Rfam family "Bacterial small subunit ribosomal RNA", at positions 524 to 787 of the family's 1533-position model. The record is from RNAcentral.
UACGAAGGGUGCUAGCGUUGUUCGGAAUCACUGGGCGUAAAGCGCGCGUAGGCGGUUUAACAAGUCAGGGGUGAAAGCCUGGAGCUCAACUCCAGAACUGCCUUUGAAACUGUUAAACUAGAGUGUCGGAGGGGAUAGCGGAAUUGCUAAUGUAGAGGUGAAAUUCGUAGAUAUUAGCAGGAACACCGGUGGCGAAGGCGGCUAUCUGGACGACAACUGACGCUGAGGCGCGAAAGCGUGGGGAUCAAACAGGAUUAGAUACCC